Molecule: ribosomal RNA, 465 nt
Filed under: Vreelandella stevensii
Lineage: Bacteria; Pseudomonadati; Pseudomonadota; Gammaproteobacteria; Oceanospirillales; Halomonadaceae
Description: partial 16S ribosomal RNA
Rfam family: Bacterial small subunit ribosomal RNA
Source: RNAcentral
CCUACGGGAGGCUGCAGUGGGGAAUAUUGGACAAUGGGCGAAAGCCUGAUCCAGCCAUGCCGCGUGUGUGAAGAAGGCCUUCGGGUUGUAAAGCACUUUCGGUGGGGAAGAAAGCCUUGGGGCUAAUACCCUCGAGGAAGGACAUCACCCACAGAAGAAGCACCGGCUAACUCCGUGCCAGCAGCCGCGGUAAUACGGAGGGUGCGAGCGUUAAUCGGAAUUACUGGGCGUAAAGCGCGCGUAGGCGGUCUGAUAAGCCGGUUGUGAAAGCCCCGGGCUCAACCUGGGAACGGCAUCCGGAACUGUCAGGCUAGAGUGCAGGAGAGGAAGGUAGAAUUCCCGGUGUAGCGGUGAAAUGCGUAGAGAUCGGGAGGAAUACCAGUGGCGAAGGCGGCCUUCUGGACUGACACUGACGCUGAGGUGCGAAAGCGUGGGUAGCAAACAGGAUUAGAUACCCGUGUAGUC